RNAcentral lists this ribosomal RNA (253 nucleotides) under uncultured bacterium. Its description in RNAcentral is "partial 16S ribosomal RNA". It matches the Rfam family "Bacterial small subunit ribosomal RNA", at positions 524 to 776 of the family's 1533-position model. The record is from RNAcentral.
UACGUAGGGAGCAAGCGUUGUCCGGAUUUACUGGGUGUAAAGGGUGCGUAGGCGGCUUUGCAAGUCAGAAGUGAAAUCCAUGGGCUUAACCCAUGAACUGCUUUUGAAACUGCAGAGCUUGAGUGGAGUAGAGGUAGGCGGAAUUCCCGGUGUAGCGGCGAAAUGCGUAGAGAUCGGGAGGAACGCCAGUGGCGAAGGCGGCCUGCUGGGCUCUAACUGACGCUGAGGCACGAAAGCGUGGGUAGCAAACAGG